Molecule: microRNA precursor, 91 nt
Filed under: Mustela putorius furo (domestic ferret)
Lineage: Eukaryota; Metazoa; Chordata; Mammalia; Carnivora; Mustelidae
Description: miRNA (ENSMPUG00000022444.1)
Source: RNAcentral
GUAGCCCCGAGUGCAGUAAGGGCUGAAUCUGUCUUGCACGUCCUGUCCUGGUGUAGUGGGAAUUGCAGUGGACUUGGAGGCAGACAGCCCC